AUUGAACGCUGGCGGCAUGCCUUACACAUGCAAGUCGAACGGCAGCACGGGAGCAAUCCUGGUGGCGAGUGGCGAACGGGUGAGUAAUAUAUCGGAACGUGCCCAGUCGUGGGGGAUAACGUAGCGAAAGCUACGCUAAUACCGCAUACGAUCUAUGGAUGAAAGCGGGGGAUCGCAAGACCUCGCGCGAUUGGAGCGGCCGAUAUCAGAUUAGGUAGUUGGUGAGGUAAAGGCUCACCAAGCCGACGAUCUGUAGCUGGUCUGAGAGGACGACCAGCCACACUGGGACUGAGACACGGCCCAGACUCCUACGGGAGGCAGCAGUGGGGAAUUUUGGACAAUGGGCGCGAAGCCUGAUCCAGCAAUGCCGCGUGCAGGAUGAAGGCCUU
Molecule: ribosomal RNA, 389 nt
Filed under: uncultured bacterium
Lineage: Bacteria
Description: bacterial SSU rRNA
Rfam family: Bacterial small subunit ribosomal RNA
Source: RNAcentral